UGUUGAUGAUGUGGGCAUUUCCAAAGAAGAGCUUUGAACCUCUCUCAAGCACAAUAUAGGUUCUCAUCUGGCUUCUGCUUGAAGCUCAAAAUCUCAUUACAUAGUUU
This is a non-coding RNA of Capsicum annuum, 107 nucleotides long. NCBI's taxonomy places the organism in Eukaryota, Viridiplantae, Streptophyta, Magnoliopsida, Solanales, Solanaceae. The record is from Rfam.